RNAcentral lists this transfer RNA (78 nucleotides) under archaeon. RNAcentral describes it as "tRNA-Ile". It matches the Rfam family "tRNA". Rfam says of the family: Transfer RNA (tRNA) molecules are approximately 80 nucleotides in length. Their secondary structure includes four short double-helical elements and three loops (D, anti-codon, and T loops). The record is from RNAcentral. RNAcentral also lists the same sequence under 4 other names.
GGGCCUGUAGCUUAGCCAGGUCAGAGCGCCCGGCUCAUAACCGGGCGGUCACCGGUUCAAAUCCGGUCAGGCCCACCA